CCCUUAGAUGUUCUGGGCCGCACGCGCGCUACACUGUUCGACGCAGCGAGUCUUAACCUUGACCGAAAGGUUUGGGUAUUCUUCAGCAAAGUCGAACGUGAUGGGGAUCGAUCAUUGCAAUUAUUGAUCGUGAACGAGGAAUUCCUAGUAAGUGCAAGUCAUCAGCUUGCGCUGAUUACGUCCCUGCCCUUUGUACACACCGCCCGUCGCUACUACCGAUUGAAUGGUUUAGUGAGAUCUCUGGAUUGACGCUGGCUAGGGGGCGACCCUUGGCCAGGCUGUCGAGAAACUGCUCAAACUUGAUCAUUUAGAGGAAGUAAAAGUCGUAACA
RNAcentral lists this ribosomal RNA (331 nucleotides) under uncultured eukaryote. RNAcentral's name for it is "partial 18S ribosomal RNA". It matches the Rfam family "Eukaryotic small subunit ribosomal RNA", at positions 1470 to 1796 of the family's 1831-position model. The record is from RNAcentral.